GAUGAACGCUGGCGGCGUGCUUAACACAUGCAAGUCGAACGGUGAAGGCGGAGCUUGCUCUGCUGGAUCAGUGGCGAACGGGUGAGUAACACGUGAGCAAUCUGCCCCUGACUCUGGGAUAAGCGCUGGAAACGGCGUCUAAUACUGGAUACGAGCUGCGAAGGCAUCUUCAGCAGCUGGAAAGAAUUUCGGUCAGGGAUGAGCUCGCGGCCUAUCAGCUUGUUGGUGGGGUAAUGGCUCACCAAGGCGUCGACGGGUAGCCGGCCUGAGAGGGUGACCGGCCACACUGGGACUGAGACACGGCCCAGACUCCUACGGGAGGCAGCAGUGGGGAAUAUUGCACAAUGGGCGGAAGCCUGAUGCAGCAACGCCGCGUGAGGGACGACGGCCUUCGGGUUGUAAACCUCUUUUAGCAGGGAAGAAGCGAAAGUGACGGUACCUGCAGAAAAAGCGCCGGCUAACUACGUG
Molecule: ribosomal RNA, 468 nt
Filed under: uncultured bacterium
Lineage: Bacteria
Description: partial 16S ribosomal RNA
Rfam family: Bacterial small subunit ribosomal RNA
Source: RNAcentral